RNAcentral lists this ribosomal RNA (879 nucleotides) under Ramularia trigonotidis. RNAcentral's name for it is "eukaryotic LSU rRNA". It matches the Rfam family "Eukaryotic large subunit ribosomal RNA", at positions 33 to 943 of the family's 3401-position model. The record is from RNAcentral. Lineage: Eukaryota; Fungi; Ascomycota; Dothideomycetes; Mycosphaerellales; Mycosphaerellaceae.
CUUAAGCAUAUCAAUAAGCGGAGGAAAAGAAACCAACAGGGAUUGCCCCAGUAACGGCGAGUGAAGCGGCAACAGCUCAAAUUUGAAAUCUGGCGCAAGCCCGAGUUGUAAUUUGUAGAGGAUGCUUCUAGGUAGCGACCGGUCUAAGUUCCUUGGAACAGGACGUCACAGAGGGUGAGAAUCCCGUACGUGACCGGCCCGCACCUUCCACGUAGCUCCUUCGAAGAGUCGAGUUGUUUGGGAAUGCAGCUCUAAAUGGGAGGUAAAUUUCUUCUAAAGCUAAAUACCGGCCAGAGACCGAUAGCGCACAAGUAGAGUGAUCGAAAGAUGAAAAGCACUUUGGAAAGAGAGUUAAACAGCACGUGAAAUUGUUGAAAGGGAAGCGCUUGCAACCAGACUUUGGGGCGGUGUUCCGCCGGUCUUCUGACCGGUCUACUCGCCGUCCCGAGGCCAACAUCAUCUGGGACCGCCGGAUAAGACCUCGGGAAUGUAGCUCCCCUCGGGGAGUGUUAUAGCCCGUGGUGAUGCGGCGCGUCUCGGGUGAGGUCCGCGCUUCGGCAAGGAUGUUGGCGUAAUGGUUGCCAGCGGCCCGUCUUGAAACACGGACCAAGGAGUCUAACAUCUAUGCGAGUGUUCGGGUGUCAAACCCCUACGCGUAAUGAAAGUGAACGGAGGUGGGAAGGGCAACCUGCACCAUCGACCGAUCCUGAUGUCCUCGGAUGGAUUUGAGUAAGAGCAUGGCUGUUGGGACCCGAAAGAUGGUGAACUAUGCCUGAAUAGGGUGAAGCCAGAGGAAACUCUGGUGGAGGCUCGCAGCGGUUCUGACGUGCAAAUCGAUCGUCAAAUUUGGGUAUAGGGGCGAAAGACUAAUCGAACCAU